Molecule: ribosomal RNA, 207 nt
Filed under: Triticum aestivum (bread wheat)
Lineage: Eukaryota; Viridiplantae; Streptophyta; Magnoliopsida; Poales; Poaceae
Description: partial small subunit ribosomal RNA
Source: RNAcentral
ACUCAAUGUGUACGGGCUUGUCCAACAGAUGUAUUAGAAAUGAUACCCUGGGAUGGAUGUAAAGCCAAGAAAAUUGCUUCCGCGCCGAGAACAAGGCCCCGCAUGUCAGUUACUCAAUGGGUUCGGCCACGUCAGGGGAUCCUCAUCCGUAGUAUACUCCCUCUGUUUUUAUUUACUCCGCAUAAAACGAAGGGAGUGGUAGAAUAA